This 1184-nucleotide long non-coding RNA is filed under the name Homo sapiens (human). RNAcentral describes it as "HSALNT0023280". The record is from RNAcentral. Lineage: Eukaryota; Metazoa; Chordata; Mammalia; Primates; Hominidae.
CCUGAGGCCUCCCAAGAAGCUGAGCAGAUGCUGUUACCAAGCUUGUGCAGCCUGCAGAUCCAUGAGCCAAUUAAACCUCUUUUCUUCAUAAAUUACCCAGUCUCGGGUAGCAAUGCAAGAAUGGCCUAAAACAAUGCCCUUAUAAAAGUAACCCCAGAGCGAUCCACACCCUGGGUGAGGACACAGAAGGCAUCAUCCAUGAGGAGCAGGCCCUCACCGGACAAGGUAUCUGCUAGUACCAUGACCUUGGACUUCCCAGUCUCCAGAACUGUGGAGCUCCCUGCCAGGCUGAGAAAACCCUGGAGCAGGCCUUCAAUUCACUCGUGAAGACUGAAGACAAGAAGUCUCUGCAGAGAGGCUCAGAUCCCAGGACAGACACCCCCAUCCGAGGCUGAAGUAGAAGCUGCAGGCUGCAAGACCACAGGCCAGAAAAGCGUGAGACCCUAUGUUCUGGCAAAGAGAGCCUGCAUUAAAGUUGAAGCCACAAGGUCUCUAAGCGGUUCCGCAACUGCUCACAGUGUUUAUCAAGCACAAUGGGAAAAACCUUAACUGUGCACAGGAGAAGCCUGGCAGACACCACCUUAUUCUGGGGACUGAGUUAACCUUGCCUGAAAUGGGACACACAAUACCUUGUGGCUCCAGGGAUGAUGCAUGAAGGCCAAAUAUAGCCUUUGAGGUAUUCUCACCCAAAAUGCACAGCCUGCAUCUAAUUGUCGGGAGACAUCAGACCAACCCAAAUUGAUGGCUGUUCUGCAAAAUGCCUAAUUGUGCUCCUCAGAGGUCUCAGGGGCAUGAGGGACAGGGAAGAGUGGAGAAGCCAGAGGCAUGGCAUCACCAAAAGUAACAAGGGACCCAGGAGGGGGUUCUGGGACAGAAAAGGGAUCUUGAUAGAAAAACGAAGGAAAGCUGAGUGACGUCCAGAGUGUGGUGAAUAGAACACAUUUAGUUUUGAACAAUUGGCAUAGUUAUGCACCACUGGGUUGGACGAGGGGACCCAGGACUCUCAGUGCCACUCCUGCGAUGUUUAUGAAAGUCUGAAAUUAUUUCAAAAUAAAAAGUUAAACCUGGGCAACAUAGCAAGACCCCCUUUCUUAAAAAACAAACAAACAUAAAUGAGCUGGGCAUGGUGGUGUGCAUCUGUAGUCCUAGCUACUUGGGACGCUGAGGCAGGAGGAUUGCUUGAG